AAUCCAUGGUGAGGACAUUUUCUAAGCAUCUCCUUAAAUCUCUCUCACCCUUCACUUAGUGUCUCAUCUUCAAAUUGUUGAAAAGCGACAACCUCAUUUCUGAACC
This is a small nucleolar RNA of Cucurbita maxima (winter squash), 106 nucleotides long. RefSeq annotates it as Plant small nucleolar RNA R71. Lineage: Eukaryota; Viridiplantae; Streptophyta; Magnoliopsida; Cucurbitales; Cucurbitaceae. The transcript has a single exon. The record is from RefSeq and is a predicted model, not a curated record.